Molecule: ribosomal RNA, 257 nt
Filed under: uncultured Glomus
Lineage: Eukaryota; Fungi; Glomeromycota; Glomeromycetes; Glomerales; Glomeraceae
Also listed under: 1 other name
Description: partial 18S ribosomal RNA
Rfam family: Eukaryotic small subunit ribosomal RNA
Source: RNAcentral
AAGCUCGUAGUUGAAUUUCGGGGUUCUACCGUUGGUCGGGCUAACCAGUCUGUACUAGCGUGUAGAAUUCUUACCUUCUGGGGAACCAUCAUGUUAUUAAUUUAGCGUGGUGGGAAACCAGGACCUUUACCUUGAAAAAAUUAGAGUGUUCAAAGCAGGCUUACGUCUGAAUACAUUAGCAUGGAAUAAUAAAAUAGGACGGUGGUCCUGUUUUGUUGGUUUCUGAAUCACCGUAAUGAUUAAUAGGGAUAGUUGGG